AGGUCAGAUUGGAGCAAGAUUUUUUGAGAACAUAUUACUCAUCUUCCGGGACAAGGGGGCGAAACGACCUCUCAAUCUACUUACUCCAGCCCGGGAAUAAAAACGUCGUCUAGGCGUUCCCUGUUGCUCCGAUCUCCCCUACGCCUAGGGCGUUGUCUAGGCCAAGAGCCAUAGUUAGUUGCUGUUUCCAUUUGGUUAUUUUUUUUUUCUCGUUGUUGAUAUCGGCAAGACGCAGCCAAAUGAUGUCCGCUGGUUGGUAGUGAGAAGACUCUUAGAACACAAACAGAAAAUUUAGAAAAUUCAAACAUAAAAAUUUAAAAAAAUUAUUUGGCAUUUAAAAUCAAAUUUAAAUAGUAAAAGAACACAUUAAUUUUCUGUUAUAACAUAAAAAAUUGUCCAUUGUAUUCUACACCUACCAAUAAACAACAUGACGUUAUAUUUGAAAAUCUAUCAACUUACUUUUAGUGAAAAUUUGACUUCGACUUUUCAAAUUUUGUAUGUAGAGAAUUCAAUCAAUGUCGAGUUUAACAAAUAGAAAUUGGGAAAAAAUCUCUUUUAUAAAAUAAUAAAAAAGGUUCAAAAAUAAAUUUAACUAUUUAUAAUUAAAUAAUUGACAGUUGACGUACUAUUUUUCUACGAUUUUUAUUAUUCUCAAAUUAAGUUCGAUUGGAUUAAAUUAUGGAUUAACAUGAAACUAAUUCAACACAAUUAUUAAUUGAGUUAGAAAAAAUUGACCGGAACCAGUCCAUUAUAAGUUAUAACCCAACUAAUCCAUCUAAAUUUCAUCCGAAAAAAUUGACUUAGAUUGAUCCCUUGCAUUAGAUUAAUGUUUUCGCACUAUUAGCCAAAUUUACAUGGAAACUCAUAAUUGAUAAAUGACACGUGGCAUUUAUUGAUAGACAAUAUUCAGUUUUUGUAUCCUAACUUUAAUAUUUAAUUAAUGAAAAUAUCACUAUCCCUUGAGAUGAAAACGUCUUUGAGAUAUUAUUAUUACUUGAAAAAUAUUAUUACUACAUUGAAUUGUGAAUGACUCAUUUAUCCAGAUUCUUCGUUUCCUC
Molecule: long non-coding RNA, 1058 nt
Filed under: Citrus sinensis (sweet orange)
Lineage: Eukaryota; Viridiplantae; Streptophyta; Magnoliopsida; Sapindales; Rutaceae
Description: long non-coding RNA (CSIN_LNC002720)
Source: RNAcentral